GGGUGAGUAAUAUAUCGGAACGUACCCUUGGGUGGGGGAUAACUACGCGAAAGCGUAGCUAAUACCGCAUACGCACCAUGGUGGAAAGCGGGGGAUCGCAAGACCUCGCGCGCAAGGAGCGGCCGAUAUCUGAUUAGCUAGUUGGUGGGGUAAAAGCCUACCAAGGCGACGAUCAGUAGCUGGUCUGAGAGGACGACCAGCCACACUGGGACUGAGACACGGCCCAGACUCC
RNAcentral lists this ribosomal RNA (232 nucleotides) under uncultured bacterium. RNAcentral's name for it is "partial 16S ribosomal RNA". It matches the Rfam family "Bacterial small subunit ribosomal RNA", at positions 104 to 339 of the family's 1533-position model. The record is from RNAcentral.